CUCAGGAAGUAUUUAAGCCCAAUAUCCUUAUUCUUUGUUCUUGUCUUACUCUCUUUUCUUUCAACAAAGCACUGUAAAUCCUUAACUUUAUUUUUGGAAAUUGCAAUUGCUUUUCUUUUUUUUUUCUUCCCAGUCUUCUCCCCACUGGAAAACUAAAAAUAAAAUUCUAAGCCCCCAACUGAUGGGACAAAUUCCCUCUUGGUCAAACGGAUCCCAGGGAAACCUUAAAAACUGAGUUCCUGGACAUGAAAAGACAGGAGUUGCACCAGGUUGGGGGACCACACAUGACCUUGAAUGAGAGGGAUGCUCAUCUUCCAGAUGGAUUUGCAGGUGGAUGCAGUGGCCAGAUGAAAUGCUGCGUUGUCUUCGUCUGAGGAAAAGAGCCUCCAAGCAUAAAAUGAUGCUGAAAAGAAAUGAAAUGAAAGGAAGAGGAGCCAAACCAUGAAAGUUAAUACUGGCAUUAUGAAAAGUAUUGCUAUGAAUCCAAUUUAUUUAAUUAUAAGUGUUUUUAAUUAAUUUCAAAAGAAGAUGGCCAUCCCCAUCAGUGUUUGGCAGAAUGCCUGCAUUUGAGGGUGAAGAAAAUAGUGUGUGUGUGCACAUGCGCAUGUAAUGCUUUCACGAUGAAAAACGACUUCAAUCAUCAAUUCGAAAUCCUGUUCAAAGUGAAAUCACAUUUGCAUGACAAACAACACAGCAUCUACCAGUUAGAAUCAUGUUUACUUGGCAGAAAGAACAUUCGUGAAACCAACACCAGUGUCACAGCCACAGAGGAGAAUUGCAUUUUAUUCGUCUUUUUGGUUCUAGUAUAAAACAUAAAAGGUACCCAACUGGUGUCUAAAGAAUGAAUGAGUGUAUCAUUUAAUAAAUGACAAAUACACAGAGGAAAGAACACGUAGGAGCUGUCUGCAGAAGGUGAGCACAAGUGUCAAAAAGGAAUAAACAAAAUAACAAAAAGAGUAGAUUAGUGGAAAUCCAUAUUAUUCUCAAGCUGCAAAUUGAUCCAACGAUGUAGGUCUCACUUCAGUUGGUCCUCAGUGGUAACUGCAAGAUUUGGGGUGAUAAGAAUGGUGGUGCAAAUGCGUGUAAAUAAAGUGUGUAUUUGAAUGUGUGCACUUUUUAAUUAAUUUAAUCUGGCUCACCCAACCUCUUCUACUUGAGUCCAAAAUCACAAAAGAGAAGUUAAUGGCCCUUCAUUAUCAGUCAUAUGGGACAGAAUAUGCAAUAGCUUUCUUGAAACUCAGUGCACUCUUUCCCUAACUAGCACUAUUAUCUUGUCCCUUAAUCUAUAACUAUGAAGGGGGAGAAAGUAGGUUCUGAUUUUCAUCUUCUAUUUGGCUUCUCACUUCUUAUUCUCACUGGAAUCAGAACAUAAAAGAAGAAGGUCCUAGGAACCUUAACCCUGAGGGUCUUCAUAAGAUGGCUUAAUUUAUUAUCCUCCUGUUCCCCUUAUGCAGAAUGUCAGGUUUGCUAACCAGAAACUGCUGCAAAUUUUUUGCAAGAACCACUAUUACCUGGUCCUGCAAGUCCUACAGGAAAGUCCUCUUGGGGACUCUCACCCCCUCUUCUCAACCUGGUUUCUGCCCCGUGUAAACCACAGAAAAUCUCAGGCACAAGACAAAGGGGAUUCCCAAUGGGUAUGAGCUCUGUACAUUUCUUACCUUCAAGUUUUUUCACUUAUGCUUCACCAGCCUCUUUAGAUUUUUGCUUGGAAUUACAAGUAUUAAUGUCACUUCUUGCUGUAGUUGUUGUUUAUGUGCCCACAGUGGUGCUGAUCGCAGGCUGACUCUGACCUCUGUUCUUCAGAUCUAUCUGAGCUAUUGUUCAACCUCAGCAGGAGGCAACCCCAGGGGCCUGGCUGUGAGCCUCCAGCUGAUGCUGUUGUGGGCAAUCUCAUGGCAUGAAUAAUAUUGAGUGAGAAGACCUGGGAUUGAAUCUCAGCUCCAACUCUCUCCAGCUUCAUGACCAUGGGCAUGUUACUUCACUUCUCUGAGCCUAACAUCCUUAUUGCAAGGAGAAGAACUAGUUUCUCCCUCCCAGGGUUAUUAGGAAAAUCAAAAGAGAUAACUCAUGUGACUGGAAUAUGGAAAACCUGCUCUGGAGCAGAUGCUUAAAUAAUUAUUAUUCCUGCUUUACCCCUGUUGCAAUGCUUGUUAUAUUUUCUUCACACUAUAGAUCUUAGAGAAAAAAUGUUACAACCCAUUGGGAUAAAGAGACGAGGUUCUUCAAGCCAGAGGUUUCAGCUGACCCAGACUUCAGCUUAUGCGGUAUGCCUGCAACCAUCCAAGGUUCUCUGCCUGCCACGGCAUACCUGGUGGGAAGCUUUGGGAUGGCAAGUGUGAGUCUUGACCCUUAUGAAGGUGUGGCCUCUGAGGCAGAGCUGUUCGUAUUUGAUCAUUGAGUCACAGCAGCAUGACAGUGGCAACUCACAUAAUGGUCUCUCUGCAGUGUUCUCACCAUGGCGUUCCUGGAAAGUGAGGUGACAGUUUUAGGGCUUCAUCCAGCCCCAGAUACGUAGUUAGCUCCCCAUAAAUAUUAACUGUCAUUGGCUUUGUAAUUACUCUAAUUUGAAUCAAAUUGGGCCUAGAAUAACCACAAAUUUGUUUUUCUGUCCAAUCACUGUAUUCAAAAUGCUCCACCCCGUUUCUCUUUUCUCUCCCUUGUGAAUAUCUCUGUCAGACCCCUCAGUCUUCUCAUCAUUUUCUGAUAUUAAAGAAUACAGUAGGAGCUUCGAUCUCAUUUUAAUUUGUUCCCAACUUCUCCACCGACCUUGGCUGGAAGCCUCAGAACGGGACCUUUGAGUA
Molecule: non-coding RNA, 2801 nt
Organism: Chlorocebus sabaeus (green monkey)
Lineage: Eukaryota; Metazoa; Chordata; Mammalia; Primates; Cercopithecidae
Source: RefSeq, a predicted model, not a curated record